UACGGAGGGUCCAAGCGUUGUCCGGAAUCACUGGGCGUAAAGGGUGUGCAGGUGGGGCAGCAAGUCAGAGGUGAAAGCCCGCGGCUUAACCGCGGAAGUGCCUUUGAAACUGCUGCUCUUGAGUCCCGGAGAGGUUGCCGGAAUUCGUGGUGUAGCGGUGAAAUGCGUAGAUAUCACGAGGAACACCAGAGGCGAAAGCGGGCAACUGGACGGGUACUGACACUGAGGCACGAAAGCGUGGGGAGCAAACAGG
RNAcentral lists this non-coding RNA (253 nucleotides) under uncultured bacterium. RNAcentral's name for it is "partial 16S ribosomal RNA". It matches the Rfam family "Bacterial small subunit ribosomal RNA", at positions 524 to 776 of the family's 1533-position model. The record is from RNAcentral. RNAcentral also lists the same sequence under 1 other name.